UUACUUGCAUGCCAUCUCGUAAUGAAGUUACUCAGAUGACUGUCACAGGAGAAUGGUCGACCCCAAAGAUUCACGAGGCAAUGCAGAUAUGCCUCGAUGCUUGUACGAAACUGGGGAUGAUCAUGAGAUCAUGCCUAAAAGAAGCUGUUUCUGCUCCAGAAGAUUAGAAAUUUGUGUUUCUUAGUGGAUUUUUUUCACUUUAUUAAUCCCAAGAAUGUUUGGUUAGGCUUAAAAUAUUAAAAUUUGCUUAUUUAUUACUUUUACUUAAAAGAGGGUAUACUCGGUUUGAAAGUAGUUAUUCCUUUUGCUCGUGCAUGAAAUUACUCACAAUUAGCCAAAUAAUUGGUAACAAGACUCCAAAAUAUUUGUUCAUUCUUUACAUAAUAGACGGUCCAAACCAUGUGAAAUGCCUCGAGAAAGUCUACUUAGGCAUUACUCCACUAUUGUAUUUUUUGACAUCCAAUGAUAGACCAGAUUUGUUGA
Long non-coding RNA from Olea europaea var. sylvestris, 483 nucleotides. RefSeq lists it as uncharacterized. The record is from RefSeq and is a predicted model, not a curated record. NCBI's taxonomy places the organism in Eukaryota, Viridiplantae, Streptophyta, Magnoliopsida, Lamiales, Oleaceae. The transcript is spliced from 2 exons.